This 619-nucleotide ribosomal RNA is filed under the name Eurylabus quadratus. RNAcentral describes it as "eukaryotic LSU rRNA". It matches the Rfam family "Eukaryotic large subunit ribosomal RNA", at positions 417 to 780 of the family's 3401-position model. The record is from RNAcentral. Lineage: Eukaryota; Metazoa; Arthropoda; Insecta; Hymenoptera; Ichneumonidae.
AAACCUGAGAAACCCGAAAGAUCGAAUGGGGAGAUUCAUCGUCAGCGAUACUGGUACGCGUGCGGUUCGCGAUGUGCGGUUGACCUCGGUCUCCUGGCACGCGUCCGCGUGUGAUUUAUUGCCGGAAUCGUCGGCGUGCACUUCUCCUCUAGUAGGACGUCGCGACCCGUUGGGUGUCGGUCUACGGCACGGGUAGGUAGCCUGUCACGUGGUUCGCUUCACGGCGUGAUGCGGGGCAGACCUCCGUUCUCGCCCGACCGGCUGCCCGGCGGUACUCGCAAGAUAUCUGGCCGCAGACAUACGAACUGCGUCCGGCCCGUCGCAAGCGCGGCAAGUGUCUCCCCGGCUGUACGGAUCCAAUGCCGUCACCGGGCCUUGCCAGCUGUUGGUUGACGGUGUCCUUGGACUGGCUAACAGAUAUCGGUCGGCGACGCUACUGCUUUGGGUACUUUCAGGACCCGUCUUGAAACACGGACCAAGGAGUCUAACAUGUGCGCGAGUCAUUGGGAACUCUUAAGCCUAAAGGCGCAAUGAAAGUGAAGAUCGGCCUUGCGCCGAUCGAGGGAGGAUGGGCCGCGUCACGAUGCGGUCCCGCACUCCCGGGGCGUCUCGUUCUCAU